AGUGAACGCUGGCGGUAGGCCUAACACAUGCAAGUCGAACGGCAGCACAGUAAGAGCUUGCUCUUACGGGUGGCGAGUGGCGGACGGGUGAGGAAUACAUCGGAAUCUACUUUUUCGUGGGGGAUAACGUAGGGAAACUUACGCUAAUACCGCAUACGUCCUACGGGUGAAAGCAGGGGAUCUUCGGACCUUUCGCGAUUGAAUGAGCCGAUGUCGGAUUAGCUAGUUGGCGGGGUAAAGGCCCACCAAGGCGACGAUCCGUAGCUGGUCUGAGAGGAUGAUCAGCCACACUGGAACUGAGACACGGUCCAGACUCCUACGGGAGGCAGCAGUGGGGAAUAUUGGACAAUGGGCGCAAGCCUGAUCCAGCCAUACCGCGUGGGUGAAGAAGGCCUUCGGGUUGUAAAGCCCUUUUGUUGGGAAAGAAAAGCAGCAGGUUAAUACCCCGCUGUUCUGACGGUACCCAAAGAAUAAGCACCGGCUAACUUCGUG
RNAcentral lists this ribosomal RNA (492 nucleotides) under uncultured bacterium. RNAcentral's name for it is "partial 16S ribosomal RNA". It matches the Rfam family "Bacterial small subunit ribosomal RNA", at positions 29 to 507 of the family's 1533-position model. The record is from RNAcentral.